RNAcentral lists this ribosomal RNA (455 nucleotides) under uncultured bacterium. Its description in RNAcentral is "bacterial SSU rRNA". It matches the Rfam family "Bacterial small subunit ribosomal RNA", at positions 340 to 786 of the family's 1533-position model. The record is from RNAcentral.
UACGGGAGGCAGCGGUGGGGGAAUAUUGCACAAUGGGCGCAAGCCUGAUGCAGCCAUGCCGCGUGUAUGAAAAAGGCCUUCGGGUUGUAAAGUACUUUCAGUCGUGAGGAAGGUGUUAAGGUUAAUAACCUUAGCAAUUGACGUUAGCGACAGAAGAAGCACCGGCUAACUCCGUGCCAGCAGCCGCGGUAAUACGGAGGGUGCGAGCGUUAAUCGGAAUUACUGGGCGUAAAGGGCACGCAGGCGGUUAAUUAAGUUGGAUGUGAAAUCCCCGGGCUUAACCUGGGAAUGGCAUUCAAGACUGGUUAGCUAGAGUCUUGUAGAGGGGGUAGAAUUCCAUGUGUAGCGGUGAAAUGCGUAGAGAUGUGGAGGAAUACCGGUGGCGAAAGGCGGCCCCUGGACAAAGACUGACGCUCAUGUGCGAAAGCGUGGGGAGCAAACAGGGAUUAGAUACC